Molecule: long non-coding RNA, 1290 nt
Organism: Mustela lutreola (European mink)
Lineage: Eukaryota; Metazoa; Chordata; Mammalia; Carnivora; Mustelidae
Exons: 2
Source: RefSeq, a predicted model, not a curated record
UUUCUCCUAUAAAACUGUCUGUGGUAAUCUUAUUAUACUCAGGUUUAUUAAUGAUAAUACUGGUUGAAAAAAAUAUUUAACAUUUUGAAAUUAUUCCCUAAUAAUGUUAAGUUUUGCAAUGGUAGAGAUUUAUUUUAGGUUUAAGUUAAGCUUUUCUUAAUCAGAUAUAGUAUAUUAUUUUAGUUUUCUAAUUGAUAUAGGAUUACUCAGAAUACCCUUUGAAGAUGAAUUCAGCAUUUAUCAAUGAACUUUCUUACCUUAAUUAUGUUGAAUGUAUAGUACUAUAUUCAGGGAAUGUGAAUCUUAAGGUUUCUUUUUUUUUUUUUUUCUUAAAGAUUUUAUUUAUUUAUUUGACAGACAGAGAUCACAAGUAGGUAGAGAGACAGGUGUGGGGGAGGGGUAAGCAGGCUCCCUGCUGAGCAGAGAGCCAGAUGUGGGGCUCUAUCCCAGGACUCUGGGAUCAUGACCUGAGCUGAAGGCAGAGGCUUUAACCCACUGAGCCACCCAGGCGCCCCAACUUACUUACUUACUUACUUUCUUUCUUUCUUUCUUUCUUUCUUGAUUUCUUUCGUUACAGGGAUAAGAUUUAGUUAACUCUUUAGUUAACUCUUUAAUAAACAAGUUAUUUAAAUAUUUUAUUUUUUUUCUUACAUUUGUCUCUUGAGAAGUGCCUUAUAAAUUCUGACUUCAAUUCUAAGUCUUUCUUAAAUGCAGCUUUUAAAUGCUAGUGUUUACUUAAAACUUUACUUAUGUUAAGAAAUUUUGUUUUUGUUUGCUUUAGUUUACAUGUAAGUCUACUUUGUUGGGUUCAGAUUUAAGAUGUAAAGUAGCAGUGUCAAAUUUGGUUUGCAGAAUUGUUGCUCCUGCUUUUUUAGUAAAAUGCGAAAGAUUUAUGCGAUCUGAAGAGAAACCAGAGUAUAACUCCUGCUUUUUUAAAAACAGUUUUACUGAUAUAAUUCACAUACUAUGAAAUUCUCUCAUUUAAAGUGUACACUUCAGGGGCGCCUGGUAUAUUCAUAGGAUUGUGCAGUCAUUACUAAAAUUUAGUCAGUCCAAUUUUAGAACAUUCUUAUCACCUUAGAAAGAAACUCCAUUCUGGGGGCACCUGGGUGGCUAGUGGGUUAAAGCCUCUGUUGGGUUCAGGUCAUGAUCCCAGGGUCCUGGAAUGGAGCUCGCGUAGGGCUCUCUGCUCGGCAGGUCGCCUGCUUCCUCCUCUCUCUCUGCCUCCCUCUCAGCCUACUUGUGAUCUCUGUCUGUCAAAUAAAUAAAUAAAAUCUUAAAAAAAAAAAA